GGGGGACAGAGAGAAGGGGUGGGGUAGAGGGAGGGACAGAGAGAAGGGGUGGGGUAGAGAGAGAUGGACAGAGAGAAGGGGCAGGGUAGAGGGAGGAACAGAGAUAAGGGGGCAGGAGAGAGGGGGACAGAGAGAAGGGAUGGGGUAGAGGGAGGGACAGAGAGAAGGGAUGGGGUAGAGAGAGGGACAGAGAGAAGGGAUGGGAGGGGGAUGGGACAGAGAGAAGGGAUGGUGUAGAGAGAGGGACAGAGAGAAGGGAUGGGGUAGAGGGAGGGACAGAGAUAAGGGAUGGUGUAGAGAG
Oncorhynchus tshawytscha (Chinook salmon) is the source of this 301-nucleotide long non-coding RNA. The record is from Ensembl. Lineage: Eukaryota; Metazoa; Chordata; Actinopteri; Salmoniformes; Salmonidae.